This is an RNA transcript of Cynoglossus semilaevis (tongue sole), 7354 nucleotides long. It is a transcript of the gene named Src like adaptor 1a, with no coding region annotated. Lineage: Eukaryota; Metazoa; Chordata; Actinopteri; Pleuronectiformes; Cynoglossidae. The transcript has 8 exons. The record is from RefSeq and is a predicted model, not a curated record.
UCUUCAUUUCCAUCUUCUCUACAGCAGAUCAUCAAAAGAACUCUGAUCUUUCCACACUGUCAGAACGUGUGCUUUUAUUAUAAUGAGUCUUUGAGACAUGAAAUGCACCUGUGAAUACAGUCAUGUUAGUUAGUGUUAGUGUGAUUUCAGAGAGAACGCUCCAGUGGACGUUCGUAUCAUCUCUUGUGUCAGCUCUGGUACUGUGAGCUGACACAGCUGAGUGGUGGUUCACUGGGAGCUGGUAGGAAGUUACAAACUUUGCAACGUUUUGGCAACAAGAGGUUUAGUGGUUUUUCAAAGUUGUCACUUACAACUGCAAUAAGUGCAGACUGAGACAUUCGUUUCACUGCUCUAACUUCAGGUGGUGGUGCAGCUGGAGGAUGGGGAACAUGAUGAGAGGCAGUGGAACGAGAACCAACAGAAACGACAAUCAAACAUCACACAAGAGGUUGGACGAAGACAUUUUGGCGGUCGUGCUUCAGGACUACCCGUCUCCUCAAAUCAGCGAGCCCACCUACAGGAUAGGGGAGAAACUCAGAGUCCUUGAACGCGGGGACUACUGGUGGAGAGUUUGUUCUGUGGGAACAGGAAAGGAGAACUACAUACCCCACAGUCACGUGGCCACAGUCUACCAUGGCUGGCUUUACGAGGGGGUGCAGAGAAAAAACGCAGAGGAGCUGCUGCUCCUACCUGAGAACAAAGUGGGUUCUUUUCUGGUGCGGGAGAACAUGAAGGAGCGAGGCACAUACUCACUGUCAGUGAAGCACCAGGUCAUCAAGCACUAUCGAAUCCACAGACUGGACAACAGCUGGUACUUCAUCUCCCCUGGUCUCACCUUCCAGUGCCUUGAAGACAUGAUCAGCCACUACUCUGAAGCUGCAGAUGGCCUGUGUUGUAUGUUAACUUCACCUUGUUUGUCCGGCACGGCGACGCAGUGGGAUGCCGAGCCCAUAGCGCCACCUGUGGUCAUGAGACGAAACUUUGACUGGAAGAAAGUGGACAGGAACCAGCUGGUCAGCACCGACAGCUGCAGUGACAGCAUUGUGAGCUACGGCGUCAGAAACAGCAUCGCCGCCUACCUGUCCCUGUCUGAGGACCAGGACCAUCCCAGGACACGCACGAAGGACAGGAAACGGAAGUGCAAAACGGUUUAUUCUUUCCCUGAACACAACCUUGAGAACAGUGACAUCUGAAGGUGGCAGCAAAAGACCACGUCUUUAUCCAGUGCCGUGCUGCCAUUUGAACUCGUCCAAUUAUAAUGAGGGACCCAAAGCUGUAGAGGACAAUAGUGCAAUUUUAAUAUGAAUAAUGACUUCUCCCUGCAUUAACUCAGAACUUACUAUCUGUACAUGAAGUUCACGUUGGAAAAAAAAAGGUGCGCCCCCACCCCCGCCCCGCCCCCACCUGUUUAUUCCUCUGACAAUCUCAGAGGAAGUGAAACUGUUCCGUAGUCACUUCCCAGGUUACAGUUACCGUAAGUUACGUGCAGGAAGUGUGUGAUGAGUCAAGACGACCUCGGUACGUUCUCCUCAGGUAAAGACAAGCUGGGUUGAAAGUCUUGUAAAAUAGGGGAAGUGUGUGUGUGCGUGUGCGUGUGUGUGUGCUGUUAUUUAUGCAUUUAUUUUUUCAGAAGAUACCAUUGUUUUGCGGACAUUUUUUGGAGAUGCUCAACGAGUAUUUUAAGGGUCAAGAUCUAGUUUGGAGUUAGGAUUAAAAUUACAGUCAAAUUACAGUAAAAGUAAUGAUUGGAGUUAGGCAUAUUUCCCUGGGUGGUUAAGGUAAAAGGCCAGUAGCACACAGAAAAGUGUGUGUGUGUUUUUAAUGGAACAACUGCUGCUCCAUCCUGCAGUGACUGGUGUAGAGUCAGCAUUAGUCACUCACGACUCCAACUGCGUCUCCUCACACGUGGAACCACACUGGAAAAUAACUGUAGGAUUAACCCUCUGAGGGACAAAUGACCGUCAAACCUACGGAAGUCAAACCUAAGGGAAGCUGUUUCGUUUUUGGGGACAACAAACACGCCCAGAAUAAACAGGACUUCCUCCCCCUCCUCCCACUCCUCCCCCCGGUCCAUCUGUUCAUCCAUAUUUAAGCAGGAGGAUCUAAAAACAACAGCUACUCCCUGGGACCGUGCAGCAUCCAGGCCAAUAUCAAUGUAGACCAGGAAGAAGAUGCUUGAUCACGCUUCCAAUCAUCACAUCUGUGUGUGUGCAGUCAAAACAACAGCUCUCAGUGGGGUAAUGGAAGGAUGAGGUUUCAGCUCAGACUCCAGAAGAACCAGACGCCCACACAGAUGUGUCUCGUCUCACACCACCAAAGGUCACGAGGUGACUUUAUGCUGAGACAAAGGGGUUUCAAAUCAGAGUUUGGUUUGAUCUUCCCAGGGACGGACGCACCAAGAAAAACACGGCACUCGACCUGAACCAAUAAGGAGACGGAGAGUUCGGGGACUUUAUUAUAAAAGACAAGGACAGAAAACAAAGAAGAAAAAUUCCUUCAUACUUUGUUGUUGAUCAGUCUCAGCUCUGCCUUCUCCACCCGUGUAAUGUUGCUAAUUAAUAAUAUGUUUGGCUCUGUGUUUCUGUGAGGUUCAAUCUAGUCAGUAUUUCCUAACCAAACAAAUCAAGAUCAGCCUCAGAUGUUCAUUUUUCAUCAGAGAACUAGAAUUUCAAAUUUGGUACACUUUGAAAAUUCAAAGAAAUUCCUCCAACCCCCCUUCCUGUUUUGCCCACGGAGCCAAUGAGUUAAACUGAUUUUAAAUCAUGACAUUGACUCUGCAUUUGACAAAUAAUCAAACUGUAAAAAGUGACUAUUUCUGACUCUGUAUUAUUGUCCCUGUCUGCCAGCUCCUACUGAUGAGUGAGUGGACAAAUGCAGAGUCUUACUGCUCUGCAGUUUUGGAAACUUUUGACAUCACUCACUGCUGCAGUCGUAAAGAUGUGCUGAGCAUCCUGACAAGGUGGAAAAGGUGGGAGGGAACCUUUUCCACUGUCGGCAGGGCAGGACCACUUGGUUCUUAGCCUCAGGGAAUGAGUCGUUUAAAGGUGAACCGGCGACCAGAGCCAAGAGACACAUUCAAGGACGUCCAGACAGCAGGAGAAAACAAACAAGAUGUGGAACAACACUGUGGAAAAAAAUGACUUAAAUUCAAGGAACAUUCAGGGACUUUUUCACCUUUACACCAGUGACAUUCAGUGUCAUCACCAGGGUGUAAAUCACUGACGGGUGACAAACAAACAAACAAACAAGACAAGGACCCGAGGGUCAGGCAGAACUGAAUCAGUUGUUCUGGGAAACAGUUAAAUAAUUUUUAUUUGGAUAAAAAGCAACAACAUGUUUCAGCUGUGGCUGAUCAGCCAGCUGAGUCUGAGCCAAGACGAUCAUGUCGGCAGCGGGGCUACAAGGAAACAGCGGAGGUAGAAAGUGGAGUGGAGGACAAUUUGAAGCAGCUGUCUGCCACGUGUCUGCUCGCAGAAAAAUCAUUAGCCGUUCCCUGCCGUGUCUUAUGAGGCCAUUUCUUGGUAAACCUAAAUAAUCCCAGUUGUUUUCUUCUUAUAUGGGCAACGUAACUUUAGAGACCUGUCAGGUUUCACCGCCGUGACAUGAGGUCAAACCAUCAGAUAAUAUCCAGGUAAAGACAAAAACAAACAUAAAAGUUUUGAGUUUGUGUUAUUAUUUAAUUUUGACUUCCUCUUUUUAUUACAGAGAAAUGAUGACGUGAAUUAGUGAAUUAGUUUGUAUUUAAUUUGAAACCAGGAUCAAGACAGAAGAACUCUUACUGAAGAAGAACUAUUAUAAUGAAUAUUCUUAGUGUUUAAGGAGGCGGACUUGGGUCUGGAAAGCUUCAGGUUUGAGUACAGCAGCUUCCAAGUUACCACUGAGGUGCUCUGAGCAUGGCACCGUCCCCACACACUGCUCCCCGGGCGCUUAAAGCUGCCCACUGUUUACUUUGGUGAGGGGUUAAAAGCAGAGGUCACAUUUGGUUGUGUGCAGUCACAAUGACAAGUAGUUCACUUUACUUUCCUUUUAUAUUUAUUGUUCCUUACACAUUAAAGAGUCGCCUCCUGUCCCAUUCCCUGGGCUAAAUUUGGGAACAAAGUUCUCAAGUCAGCCUUGGUUCAUUUGUUGGUUCAAUGUACUGUUUAGAAAAAGCUACAUCAUGGUGGUUUGUUUUGUGUUUCUGCAGAAACAUGCUAAUGAAGGCAGCUCUUCAGCUGUGGUCUGAAGACUCUUACAAAAUAAACCUUAGAGCUCCUUUAUCUCAACAACUACGUGCUGCACCCUGCAGAUAUCAUGGAGGAUAUAUGGAGGAAUAUAUAUGUAUAUUUCUGUAUCUAUAGUUGUCUUUAAUCAUUUCUAUUUUUUAUUAUUAUUAUUUUAUUCUGUCAACAUUACAUUUCCCCGUUGUGGGAUAAAUAAAGUUUCAUCUAAGUUAAAGAAAUUAGACAAUUCUUCUCAUUAUGUUAAUGUUGCAGUACUACAUCAUGUGAAGUACUUUUUCAGAAUGGUCGAUGCAGUUGUGUUUUUGGGAAACUGCCAGCAGGCUGACACUAAGAGUAAUUAUCAGGAAGGAACUUGAGAUAAGUAAAGAUGGAUGGACUGGAGGAGGAGAGUGAAUAUUUGUCUCCCGGGCAGGAGUUCAGAUAUGAUUGAUGGAACCAGAAGUCUUGAAGUACUGCGACGGCUCUUCUAGUCUUAGCCUGGACAUUGUAGGUCCUACCAGUGACGGUGUAGUGUCCUGUCCGCUGUUGAAACAAACCAGCUCACAGAAAACCACUUCCUGUUGUUUACACAUUUCCACGGGCGGAGCAGAGAAUGACGCCACCACGGGGUGAAGACCUAGCAUUUCUCAAAUGCUGUCAAAAGACACCGCACAUUUUUGUGCAAAAAUGUUUCGACACAAAACAUCACAGUGGUGUACGAGUGUUUCGACAAGUAGGGAGGGAGACGUUCUGAGGCAACAUCUGCUGCCAGGGACAUUUGAUCCUUUUCUUUCAAACUGUGGACACGUUUGCUAAACACUGAUGUCUUUUUAGACUUUAUCUGAAGCAGAUGUCUGAUGCUCACUACCUGCCAGUCCACGAUGUUUAUAGUACACUCACUAAAGUGAGUGAGUUUGUUGUUGAGGGAAAUAGAUUUGACCAGGGACACAGACAUGUGACCUUUAAACUGGAGUGAUUAGUCAGUUAGCUUAGCAUCAGCAUUUCCUCAACUGUCUAUAGACGUACACCUUCAAAAGAACAAGGAAAUAGAUAGAUGGAUAGAUAGAUAGAUGGAUAGAUAGAUAGAUAGAGAGAGUCUGGUCUGAUCAUGACAUGGUGACAACAAAUGCAAUUACAAAGUCAUUAAUUGUUUACUGCUUUACUUGUGGUAUAUCUGCUAGACUAAGCACCACUAGAUGUGAAAGAUUCUCUAGGGAAGAGGGUUUGGCAAAAGGGAACAGAUCAUAAAGUUGAUUUACACACACACACACACACACACACACACACUCAUUUUUGGAUCCUGAGCCUCGUGCUGUCUUUCACUGAAAAGCUCUGAUGUAAUUGAUUGAACUUUUGGCCUCUGAUUACAGUGAACACAACUUUAGAUAAGUGGGUGUGGGAGCCAUUUAGAAAAAAAGAAAGUUGCUCUUCUGAUAGACAUGUCAACUCAGUAACCCUACAUGGACCCGCGUCACUCCCACAGCCCAGUUCCUUCUGCAAGUUUCUGUGCCGUGCACAUUCCCUGGGUGACAUCUUAAUCAAAGUUCAUCCAAAUCAAUACAUGUUUUACCCCAGAAUUGAUCGGUAAUUUGAAGAGUUCAAGCUCAAAGGUUAUUUUAUAUUGACUGACUGCAAUUGUCAGCAUUUCACAGAAUCUGUUAAACACCAGUAGUUCUCUAGCAGGGGUCGCCAACGCCUCACUUACCAGCUGGCAAUAGCUCGACGCCCCUUUCCAAGGAGUUCGCUAAAGGCUAAUGAAUCAAACAAACAAACAUUUAUAAACUGGAUUUUCCAAUCAAAAUGGACACUUGUCCCGCCCCCUUUCAAAAACCAAAUGUUUAUUUGUCAUUUAGCUAUCAAUCAAAAUUUGCCGUCAACCUUGAUUCGUCAGUGUUGAUGAGUGAUGAGCUGCAGUCAUGAUGGUGACAGGUGUCCAAACCAACAAGGGGAUUCAGUAGUCGCUGUUGUUGGACACAGGGAGUUGGUGAUAACCUACCUAGACAAGAAAAAACAAAAAAAACCCACUUCUGUUCCUUCAAACAACUCUCUCAGUCUGCAUGACAACACUGAAAUAUCUCAUCUGUCUCUCCUGCAACUGCCACAGACUCCCCCACCAAUAGAAACCCUUCAGUUUUCUGAUCCUGGCUUCACCCAGAUGUGUGCCGUCCAGAUAAUGAUGAAAACCACAUGCUGCAGCGUGUUUCCUAUAAGCCCUGCUGGAAUUGUCCUUUUUGGAGACAGCGUCUCUCUUCCUUUUGGCACAAGAGGACACCUGAAGGUUGGACAUCUUCCAUGUGGAGGAUGCAACAGUCACAGCCAAACAGCAGGACUGAGAGAAACAGCGGGUCACUGUGGCAGUAGCUGACGUGGAGCAGGAGUGUGUGUGUGUGUGUGCCUGUAUAGCUGGAGACACUGGAGAUGCCUGCCUAAGAGCCAGCAAGUGAACCUCUAAGUUGAGUCUUCAGGACGAGGAGUGUUUUAUUCCAACAGUGCGCAGUAAUGAGAAUGAACUCAGCCUGACAGCUACACUCUUGCACAAUGGACAAAAUAAACACACUCUGUGUCACAAUCCACAGAGUUCAUCUGGAAGCUACAGUAACAGGAGGAGGUUUAGUGUCCAGCGCAGUAACAAUGUACGACUGUCUCGUUCCACGGUGCAGAUGAAGUUGUGUUCACUGUAAUCAGGGGCCAAAAGUGCAAUCAGUUACAUCAGAGGUUUUCAGUGAAAGACAGCACGAGGCUCAGGAUCCUGACUGAACGAUACUUUUGGUCCAUUUUAGCGCUUUUCCAAUCAUAUAACUUCUGGCUAACAAUUGGGUAUUUCUGUUCUGCUAACUGAUCCUGAACUGUGCGGCAAGCUUCGAACUGUUAUCUCCACAUUAUGUGGCAAAAUUUAGCCAAAAUACUGCAGGACACAAAACUCAAUGUACUUUUUAUAGACUUGCCUUCAUUUAUUUUGUAGCUAAUUAAGAAUAUUGACUAAUUUUAGGCUGAAUUUAUAAAUAAAUUAUGGUCUUGCUUGUUUUUGUCAUAUUGUCAUAUGUUGACAUGUUCAGAUAUUUACUUUUUUAUGUUAUUAUGUUUUUCUGAGUUUUUAGAACAAAAUAUUCACUUGGCAGCGUGUUCUGGGGAAUAAACAUGCAUUUUGAGGC